GUCCCAGUUCGGACUGUAGUCUGCAACCCGACUACACGAAGCUGGAAUCGCUAGUAAUCGCGGAUCAGAAUGCCGCGGUGAAUACGUUCCCGGGUCUUGUACACACCGCCCGUCACACCAUGGGAGCCGGGGGGCGCCUGAAGUCCGGGACCGCGAGGACCGGCCUAAGGCGAAACUGGUGACUGGGGCUAAGUCGUAACAAGGUAGC
RNAcentral lists this ribosomal RNA (208 nucleotides) under uncultured bacterium. RNAcentral's name for it is "partial 16S ribosomal RNA". It matches the Rfam family "Bacterial small subunit ribosomal RNA", at positions 1285 to 1500 of the family's 1533-position model. The record is from RNAcentral.